This 1241-nucleotide unclassified non-coding RNA is filed under the name Hevea brasiliensis (rubber tree). The record is from RNAcentral. Lineage: Eukaryota; Viridiplantae; Streptophyta; Magnoliopsida; Malpighiales; Euphorbiaceae.
AUUAAGGGCCUUUCUGAACUACAUGUUUGAUAGACUGUCAACACUCAACACUUUGCCCUGUUCAUCCUAAUUUCAUACCCUAAUCCAAACCAGGUUUCAAAGUAUGCCAAAUUAAGGACAGCCAGAAUUGAAUAUGGGAAUGACAGCCAAAAAAAAAGACAAAAAAAAUCAAUGUUUUGUUUUCAGUAAUUUAGAGUUGUAGACAUAUAGGUCCUAUACAAUAAAAUCAUAUGAGAACAUCCACUGUGCAUAAAAUAGAAAUGAUUAUUGCAUGUUCACGGACCAUUAGCUGCUCGUCAAAUAGGAAAAAAGAAAAGAAAAAAAAAUUCAAUAUGACUGACACUUCUAGUUUAGGAUUAUACUUAAUUGAGUUGAGCAUACGUGUUUGUAAUUUGUACAUGUACACAGGUAACAGUGUGUGCUAUCUACUAUGUAAUGAAUUACAAUAACUUGUGUCAUCUGCUUGGAACUUGUUCUAACUGUAGCGGAUUGGCACCUAGCCUGAUUAGUCAAUUGAUGCUUCAAGUUGAGUGUCUGAAUUAAUUAUAAUGUCUGAACCAUGCCUUUUUUUUUGGACAUUCUCCCAGGAGGAAUUAUUAGGAUCCCAUGCUCCUAGGACAUUUAUGUAGUUUCCAAUUGUUGAACCCACAAGGUGAGUGCCUCAUGGGUUGCUGUGCUUCUAGAUCACCUAAUAAUUUAUGUGAUCUUAGUCAUUCAAACCUGUCCAUUGAGACGUCAAAAAUUAUACCAUUCUUGAUUGGAUUACUUGCACAAGGGAUUUGUAGGCUACUAAACUAGGUAGAAUGAAGGCUUCAAUAAAAGCAAUUCAAUAUUGGUUCAUCCAAUGGUAGUUGAUUGCAGGGCUAGGAAUAAGCAGCAGAAAAGGAUCAUCAAUUUUAUUUGCCAAGAAGUUGCUGUGGGUACUCAAAAGAAGUAAAAAUACGUGGGAUUGGCAAUUUACAAUGUCAUAUGAGGUUAAUAGCUUUAUCAAAUAUUUUGUCCAAAAUGUUGAGGUUAGAAGUGCUUAAAGUUUAGAGUUGAGCUAUUUGGCACAUGGCAAUCAUGCCCCUUUAGAUAAAUUUUGGGCUUAAUCAUACACUUAUGUACUUGCAUAUCACACAUCAUCCAGGAGUUGCAUCUGGAUAUAUGAUAUUAGAACAUUAUUCUGUUACAACACAAUUGGAGGAUUUGAGUAGUGGCUGCAUUUGGAUGUUACCCUUGUCUUUCCUUUAGCUUCUUUA